This 254-nucleotide ribosomal RNA is filed under the name uncultured bacterium. RNAcentral describes it as "partial 16S ribosomal RNA". It matches the Rfam family "Bacterial small subunit ribosomal RNA", at positions 524 to 776 of the family's 1533-position model. The record is from RNAcentral.
UACGAAGGGGGGCUAGCGUUGCUCGGAAUCACUGGGCGUAAAGAGCUCGUAGGCGGUCUGUCGCGUCUGCUGUGAAAACUCAGGGCUUAACCCUGAGCUUGCAGUGGGUACGGGCAGACUAGAGUGCGGUAGGGGAGACUGGAAUUCCUGGUGUAGCGGUGAAAUGCGCAGAUAUCGGGAGGAACACCGGUGGCGAAGGCGGUUCUCUGGGCCUUACCUGACGCUGAGGAGCGAAAGCGUGGGGAGCGAACAGG